GCAUAUCAAUAAGCGGAGGAAAAGAAAAUAACAAUGAUUCCCUUAGUAACGGCGAGUGAAGGGGGAAAAGCUCAAAUUUUAAAUCUGCUAGGUUUUACUUAUCAGAAUUGUAAUUUGAAGAAGCGUUUUCCGCGUCUUGGUUGACCCAAAUCCUUUGGGAUAAGGUAUCAUGGAGGGUGAGAAUCCCGUUCGGUUGACCUUAUGACGCUCUACGAUACGCUCUCUAAGAGUCGAGUUGUUUGGGAUUGCAGCUCAAAAUGGGAGGUAAAUUUCUCCUAAGGCUAAAUAUCGGCGAGAGACCGAUAGCGAACAAGUACCGUGAGGGAAAGAUGAAAAGAACUUUGAAAAGAGAGUAAAAUAGUACGUGAAAUUGUUGAAAGGGAAACGAUUGAAGUCAGUCGUACCGACGAGAAAUCAACUUAUCGUGUGCGAACU
This 435-nucleotide ribosomal RNA is filed under the name uncultured fungus. Its description in RNAcentral is "LSU rRNA". It matches the Rfam family "Eukaryotic large subunit ribosomal RNA", at positions 38 to 469 of the family's 3401-position model. The record is from RNAcentral. Lineage: Eukaryota; Fungi.